Molecule: ribosomal RNA, 662 nt
Filed under: uncultured beta proteobacterium
Lineage: Bacteria; Pseudomonadati; Pseudomonadota; Betaproteobacteria
Description: bacterial SSU rRNA
Rfam family: Bacterial small subunit ribosomal RNA
Source: RNAcentral
CGGCAGCACGGGUGCUUGCACCUGGUGGCGAGUGGCGAACGGGUGGGUAAUACAUCGGAACAUGUCCUGUAGUGGGGGAUAGCCCGGCGAAAGCCGGAUUAAUACCGCAUACGAUCUACGGAUGAAAGCGGGGGACCUUCGGGCCUCGCGCUAUAGGGUUGGCCGAUGGCUGAUUAGCUAGUUGGUGGGGUAAAGGCCUACCAAGGCGACGAUCAGUAGCUGGUCUGAGAGGACGACCAGCCACACUGGGACUGAGACACGGCCCAGACUCCUACGGGAGGCAGCAGUGGGGAAUUUUGGACAAUGGGCGAAAGCCUGAUCCAGCAAUGCCGCGUGUGUGAAGAAGGCCUUCGGGUUGUAAAGCACUUUUGUCCGGAAAGAAAUCCUUGGUUCUAAUAUAGCCGGGGGAUGACGGUACCGGAAGAAUAAGCACCGGCUAACUACGUGCCAGCAGCCGCGGUAAUACGUAGGGUGCGAGCGUUAAUCGGAAUUACUGGGCGUAAAGCGUGCGCAGGCGGUUUGCUAAGACCGAUGUGAAAUCCCCGGGCUCAACCUGGGAACUGCAUUGGUGACUGGCAGGCUAGAGUAUGGCAGAGGGGGGUAGAAUUCCACGUGUAGCAGUGAAAUGCGUAGAGAUGUGGAGGAAUACCGAUGGCGAAGGC